Molecule: long non-coding RNA, 816 nt
Organism: Salvia miltiorrhiza (redroot sage)
Lineage: Eukaryota; Viridiplantae; Streptophyta; Magnoliopsida; Lamiales; Lamiaceae
Exons: 3
Source: RefSeq, a predicted model, not a curated record
UCUCUCUCUCUCUCGUCAGUUUCACUCCAGCAAUUAGAGUGCUAGGAGCGGCGCAAUCAAGGCUCAAGGACAGACAACCAUACAAAAUUUGAAGAGGUUCUUUCGAAUUACAUCUUUUGAGGCGGGGUUUACUUUAAUCUGUUAAGGAGUCGACGAGCAAGGUAAGCACAGAUGAGCUCAUAUUCUCAUACUUAUACUAUUUUGUGCAAAUUAUAAUAUUUUGCUUUAUAUACUACUGGAAGAGUUUGUGGUGGGCUGUGACCCAAUGAUUUAGUAUUUGAAUAUGCGAGUAGUUGAGGGCUGUGACCUAAUGGUGACUAAUGGGCUUUGAUCCAAUAGUUGAUGUUUAUAUAUGUGCCAUGCUUUGUGUUAAAUGGCUACUUAGGCAUGCCUAUAUUUUGUUUGAAAUAUAUAUAGAGAAAGAGUUUUUGUCUUGUUUUAAUUAUUCAUUGGCUUUGAUUUGCUUUAAUAUAGAUAAAUAUUUAUUAGAAGUAAGAUUUUGUAAUGUUGCUCAUUUUAAAAUUGUGAGAACGUUACAGUUUGGUAUCAGAGCUGAACCUCUCACAGUACGGUGUGGUUCAAGGACAAACCAAGCGGAAGCUGGUGGGCCAGUGACUCCCGGGGACGAAGUGCGGAGUGAUUGUCGGUGCAAAAGAGGCACGGACAAGGAGCGGCUCCGAUUAAGACUUCCAAGCGAAGGGGCGCAGGGAUGAACCGAAACACACCAGAACGAGAGGGAUUCUGAGAAUAUGCAGGUAUGGGACUGCAUAUUCCAGGAGAGCUUAAAUGAUUUGAUAUGUGCUAUUCAUAUCAACA